Molecule: long non-coding RNA, 1800 nt
Organism: Lates calcarifer (barramundi perch)
Lineage: Eukaryota; Metazoa; Chordata; Actinopteri; Centropomidae
Exons: 4
Source: RefSeq, a predicted model, not a curated record
UGUAGCUACUGAUCCCAUACUACAGCAGAAAGAGUGAGAGUGAGAGGGAGGAGGGACAUCAGGUGUCACAGCUCUGCAACCCCAGUUGAGGCUGCAUUACCACGACAACCAGCUCCAGGGGUGCUGCCAGCUCUCUGCCUCGCCAGCCCAGCACCCAGUCAGCCGCCCAGCCAGCUAUCCAGCUAUCUACCCAUCCAUCCGCCAAGCCAGCCAGGCCGGCCCUGCCCUACCCAGAACUGGCAACCUGCAGGAGUCAUCAGGGCUCAGUGAAAAAAGGCAAAGAGGAUGUUUAUGAGGACUGUUCAAAUUCGUCUCAUAAAGAUUUAGAUUCAGAUAAUUAAGCUGUCACAGAUGUAGCGAAGAUUAGGAGCCAGAAGACGAGGGAGAGCUGACUCUGUACCCCUGGGGAGGACGCAAUGAGAUGGAACCACUUCUCUCCCCUCCCAAUGGAAAACCACCUCCACCGUCAGAACGCCAUCUGCUGGCUCGGUGGGGUGGGACAGCUGGUGUUGUGAAUCAGGCCGCCACAGUCCAGGGACCGGCUACUUCCCAACACCAGGGUCUCACCAUCACCCCUCACACCUCAACAAUCUCUCACCUUUGUCUGGUGGAGCAUAUUCUUCCCUCAUCGUGUCCAAUAUGAAUAGAUUAAAAACACUGUAUGAUUACGACAGUAUUUUUUUCAACAUUAACCAUAUAAAUCCUGUACCUUGUAAAAAAAUUAAUUAAUAAAAAGAAAUUGAUGGUUUUAUUCUGACAAUGAUUAUAUUUUUUGAGCAAUCCUGGAACAAAAAGAGAAAAAGUGGAAGCUAAAUGAAGCUCUGAAAAUGCAGUUUGUUGUUUUGUCCAAAAUGGAUUUAUUUAUUUGCCCAUCACAGAUUGUGUUGGAACCAUUCUUUCCAAAUAAUUAAUUAUGAAAAAUAAACUAAUACCAAGAAAUACAAAAAAUGGCUGUAUAUUUAUGUUAUUAACAGACAGGACAAUGGAAUCCCACAGGGCCCCAUUUUUGGACCUUUUUUGUUUUAUUCUGGUGUCUGUUACUGACUGAUUAAAAACAUUUCUUCCACUAAUUAAUUAUUAAUAUUAUUAAUAUAAUUAAUUGUUAUUAUUAUUCAUAUGUAAUAUUAACAUUACUUUUUUUAAUGCAAGAAAUUAAUGUUUCUAUCAUAAGCAAAAGUAAUAGCUUGAUUAACAGCUACUGGAUUUAAGGAGACCAGAGAGUCACCACCUAACCCCCCUAUAAUGAGUGCUGUCAGCAGUCUCAAAUUUCAGCACAAAUGGAUGUCUUUUCAAAUCUAAUGCAAUGUGAUUGUGUAAUGCUACACUGCAAGGCUGACUGAAACAAACUUGUUGACAUUAAGCAUCACAUUUUAUAAGUGUGAGAGACAUGCAGGACAAUAAGUGUUAACAUUUUAUUUCCCCAGUGUGAAUGUUUAUCCUCCAUCAUUCCUUAGCUUGUAUUUCAGCUCUUGACCCCAUGUCAGUCUUUAAUAUCUAAAAGUGAGGUGAACCUGGUGUGAUGCUCCUGACAAGUGAAGCAAGAGAGAUGCUAUUAAGUGUAACUGAUAAUGGCUGAGUCUGAGGCUCAGUCUUUUGCAGUGUCUUUGCAAAAAUUAAACUUCCCUCUGUAGGCCCAGGAAUUACAGGCUGCUGCAGGACACCUACCUGAUUAUGUUUUAAGGUGAAAAGCCCAUCUGCAAAACUGUGUACCAGCUCCACUGUUUUGCCAACUCUGGUCUGUGUUCAUCUGUGUGUUUCUGUACAAAAUACUUGUAUAAAAGUGUGUAAUGGUCAGUUUUA